Molecule: ribosomal RNA, 427 nt
Filed under: uncultured bacterium
Lineage: Bacteria
Description: partial 16S ribosomal RNA
Rfam family: Bacterial small subunit ribosomal RNA
Source: RNAcentral
GGCGGACGGGUGAGUAACGCGUGGGAAUCUGCCCUGCAGAGGGGGACAACCCGGAGAAAUCCGGGCUAAUACCGCAUACGCUCUACGGAGGAAAGCGGAGGAUCUUCGGACUUCGCACUAUGGGAUGAGCCUAAGUCGGAUUAGCUUGUUGGUGAGGUAACGGCUCACCAAGGCGACGAUCCGUAGCUGGUCUGAGAGGACGAUCAGCCACACUGGGACUGAGACACGGCCCAGACUCCUACGGGAGGCAGCAGUGGGGAAUAUUGGACAAUGGGGGCAACCCUGAUCCAGCAAUGCCGCGUGUGUGAAGAAGGCCUGCGGGUUGUAAAGCACUUUCAGUAGAGAAGAAAAGCUUACGGUUAAUACCCGUGAGUCUUGACGUAACCUACAGAAGAAGCACAGGCUAACUCCGUGCCAGCGGCCGCGG